This is a long non-coding RNA of Prionailurus viverrinus (fishing cat), 682 nucleotides long. RefSeq lists it as uncharacterized. Lineage: Eukaryota; Metazoa; Chordata; Mammalia; Carnivora; Felidae. The transcript has 4 exons. The record is from RefSeq and is a predicted model, not a curated record.
GGACAGCCAGGCCUCCUUUAGCCCCAGCUGCCUCAACUAGAGCCCCAGGAAAACAGCUGGAACCAUCCGUCUCCUUGGCAGAUCUUGCCUAGCUGUCCUUGCCGUCAUCUCCUCCCCCCAGCUCUCUGCAGUGCUGCAAGAAGGCAGAACUCACAGCCCUGCUUUACGGACCAGGAAGCUGAGACUUAGAGACGUGGAAGUGAAUUGUUGGAAGCCACGCCACUAGGAAGUGGAGCGUGGCUGACCUUCCACACUGGUGUGCACGCUGGAGGCCUGUCCAGACCCAGAACGUCAGCUUGGGGGCUCCCGGAGGGUGAAGCCAAAUCUUCCGUCAUCUUCGCUCUGCCUUCAGGGACACUGCCUUCCAAGGGAGUCACUGAGUUCGGGGAGAGACCAAGAGGGCCGACACUGGGGAAACACAAAAGCUGCACCGAAGGUAAGUCCCUCAUGUCUCCUCCCCACCCCCUUCCGGAAAACUUUCUGACCUCAGGUGACACUGCUUCUGGGAGGGGUGGGGGCCAGAACCCAGCAACUCCUGACCCUCUUGUCUCAACUUCCUAGGAAAAGAAGGGACUGAAAGGGUACCCUGGCCCUCAGCAACUACCCUAUUGGAAAACAAAGGUGGAAACAACCACCCUAUUGGAAAACAAGUUGGACACAGAGAACCCCAUCUUGGGGAAGG